GAUGAACGCUGGCGGCGUGCCUAAUACAUGCAAGUCGAGCGAACGGACGAGAAGCUUGCUUCUCUGAUGUUAGCGGCGGACGGGUGAGUAACACGUGGAUAACCUACCUAUAAGACUGGGAUAACUUCGGGAAACCGGAGCUAAUACCGGAUGAUAUUUUGAACCGCAGGGUUCAAAAGUGAAAGACGGUGUUGCUGUCACUUAUAGAGGGAUCCGCGCUGCAUUAGCUAGUUGGUAAGGUAACGGCUUACCAAGGCAACGAUGCAUAGCCGAACUGAGAGGGUGAUCGGCCACACUGGAACUGAGACACGGUCCAGACUACUACGGGAGGCAGCAGUAGGGAAUCUUAGGCAAUGGGCGAAAGCCUGACGGAGCAACGCCGCGUGAGUGAUGAAGGUCUUGGGAUCGUAAAACUCUGUUAUUAGGGAAGAACAUAUGUGUAAGUAACUGUGCACAUCUUGACGGUAACUAAUCAGAAAGCCACGGCUAACUACGUG
This 497-nucleotide ribosomal RNA is filed under the name uncultured bacterium. RNAcentral describes it as "partial 16S ribosomal RNA". It matches the Rfam family "Bacterial small subunit ribosomal RNA", at positions 28 to 507 of the family's 1533-position model. The record is from RNAcentral.